This 1347-nucleotide ribosomal RNA is filed under the name Weissella confusa. Its description in RNAcentral is "bacterial SSU rRNA". It matches the Rfam family "Bacterial small subunit ribosomal RNA", at positions 122 to 1455 of the family's 1533-position model. The record is from RNAcentral. Lineage: Bacteria; Bacillati; Bacillota; Bacilli; Lactobacillales; Lactobacillaceae.
GUUCUUUUCAUGCAGGGGGAUUAACAUUUUGGAAACAGAUGCUAAUACCGUAUAACAAUGACAACCGCAGGGAGAAUUAAAAAGAUGGUUCGGCUAUGACUAAGAGAUGGUCCCGCGGUGCAUUAGCUAGUUGGUAAGGUAAUGGCUUACCAAGGCGAUGAUGCAUAGCCAAGUUGAGAAACUGAUCGGCCACAAUGGGACUGAGACACGGCCCAUACUCCUACGGGAGGCAGCAGUAGGGAAUCUUCCACAAUGGGCGAAAGCCUGAUGGAGCAACGCCGCGUGUGUGAUGAAGGGUUUCGGCUCGUAAAACACUGUUGUAAGAGAAGAAUGACAUUGAGAGUAACUGUUCAAUGUGUGACGGUAUCUUACCAGAAAGGAACGGCUAAAUACGUGCCAGCAGCCGCGGUAAUACGUAUGUUCCAAGCGUUAUCCGGAUUUAUUGGGCGUAAAGCGAGCGCAGACGGUUAUUUAAGUCUGAAGUGAAAGCCCUCAGCUCAACUGAGGAAUUGCUUUGGAAACUGGAUGACUUGAGUGCAGUAGAGGAAAGUGGAACUCCAUGUGUAGCGGUGAAAUGCGUAGAUAUAUGGAAGAACACCAGUGGCGAAGGCGGCUUUCUGGACUGUAACUGACGUUGAGGCUCGAAAGUGUGGGUAGCAAACAGGAUUAGAUACCCUGGUAGUCCACACCGUAAACGAUGAGUGCUAGGUGUUUGAGGGUUUCCGCCCUUAAGUGCCGCAGCUAACGCAUUAAGCACUCCGCCUGGGGAGUACGACCGCAAGGUUGAAACUCAAAGGAAUUGACGGGGACCCGCACAAGCGGUGGAGCAUGUGGUUUAAUUCGAAGCAACGCGAAGAACCUUACCAGGUCUUGACAUCCCUUGACAACUCCAGAGAUGGAGUGUUCCCUUCGGGGACAAGGUGACAGGUGGUGCAUGGUUGUCGUCAGCUCUGUGUCGUGAGAUGUUGGGUUAAGUCCCGCAACGAGCGCAACCCUUAUUACUAGUUGCCAGCAUUCAGUUGGGCACUCUAGUGAGACUGCCGGUGACAAACCGGAGGAAGGUGGGGAUGACGUCAAAUCAUCAUGCCCCUUAUGACCUGGGCUACACACGUGCUACAAUGGCGUAUACAACGAGUUGCCAACCCGCGAGGGUGAGCUAAUCUCUUAAAGUACGUCUCAGUUCGGAUUGUAGGCUGCAACUCGCCUACAUGAAGUCGGAAUCGCUAGUAAUCGCGGAUCAGCACGCCGCGGUGAAUACGUUCCCGGGUCUUGUACACACCCCCUUGUCACACCAUGAGAGUUUGUAACACCCAAAGCCGGUGGGGUAACCUUUCUGGGCAGGCUCCA